RNAcentral lists this ribosomal RNA (253 nucleotides) under uncultured bacterium. Its description in RNAcentral is "partial 16S ribosomal RNA". It matches the Rfam family "Bacterial small subunit ribosomal RNA", at positions 524 to 776 of the family's 1533-position model. The record is from RNAcentral.
UACGUAGGGGGCAAGCGUUGUCCGGAUUUAUUGGGCGUAAAGAGCUCGUAGGCGGCUUGUCGCGUCGAAUGUGAAAACCCACGGCUCAACUGUGGGCUUGCAUUCGAUACGGGCAGACUAGAGUGAUGUAGGGGAGACUGGAAUUCCUGGUGUAGCGGUGAAAUGCGCAGAUAUCAGGAGGAACACCGAUGGCGAAGGCAGGUCUCUGGGCAUUAACUGACGCUGAGGAGCGAAAGCAUGGGGAGCGAACAGG